RNAcentral lists this ribosomal RNA (418 nucleotides) under uncultured bacterium. RNAcentral describes it as "bacterial SSU rRNA". It matches the Rfam family "Bacterial small subunit ribosomal RNA", at positions 356 to 773 of the family's 1533-position model. The record is from RNAcentral.
GGGGAAUAUUGCGCAAUGGAGGAAACUCUGACGCAGCAACGCCGCGUGGGUGAAGAAGGUCUUCGGAUUGUAAGGCCCUGUCGGGGGGGAAGAAAAGCGCGUGGAGAACGCGUAUGACGGUACCCUCGAAGGAAGCACUGGCUAACUCCGUGCCAGCAGCCGCGGUAAUACGGAGAGUGCAAACGUUGUUCGGAAUUAUUGGGCGUAAAGGGCGCGUAGGCGGUCUGGUAAGUCGGAUGUGAAAGCCCGGGGCUCAACCCUGGAAGUGCGUUCGAAACUGCUGGACUUGAGUUCAGGAGGGAGAGGUGGAAUUCCUGGUGUAGGGGUGGAAUCCGUAGAUAUCAGGAGGAACACCGGUGGCGAAGGCGACCUCUUGGCCUGUAACUGACGCUGAGGCGCGAAGGCGUGGGGAGCAAAC